Molecule: ribosomal RNA, 467 nt
Filed under: uncultured bacterium
Lineage: Bacteria
Description: partial 16S ribosomal RNA
Rfam family: Bacterial small subunit ribosomal RNA
Source: RNAcentral
GACGAACGCUGGCGGCGUGCUUAACACAUGCAAGUCGAACGGAAAGGCCCUGCUUUUGUGGGGUGCUCGAGUGGCGAACGGGUGAGUAACACGUGAGUAACCUGCCCUUGACUUUGGGAUAACUUCAGGAAACUGGGGCUAAUACCGGAUAGGAGCUCCUGCUGCAUGGUGGGGGUUGGAAAGUUUCGGCGGUUGGGGAUGGACUCGCGGCUUAUCAGCUUGUUGGUGGGGUAGUGGCUUACCAAGGCUUUGACGGGUAGCCGGCCUGAGAGGGUGACCGGCCCACUGGGGACUGGGAUACGGCCCAGACUCCUACGGGGGGCAGCAGUGGGGAAAAUUGCACAAUGGGCGGAAGCCUGAUGCAGCAACGCCGCGUGCGGGAUGACGGCCUUCGGGUUGUAAACCGCUUUCGCCUGUGACGAAGCGUGAGUGACGGUAAUGGGUAAAGAAGCACCGGCUAACUACGU